CGGACGGGUGGGUAAUGUCUGGGAAACUGCCCGAUGGAGGGGGAUAACUACUGGAAACGGUAGCUAAUACCGCAUAACGUCGCAAGACCAAAGAGGGGGGACUUCGGGCCUCUUGCCAUCGGAUGUGCCCAGAUGGGAUUAGCUAGUAGGUGGGGUAACGGCUCACCUAGGCGACGAUCCCUAGCUGGUCUGAGAGGAUGACCAGCCACACUGGAACUGAGACACGGUCCAG
This 232-nucleotide ribosomal RNA is filed under the name uncultured bacterium. RNAcentral describes it as "partial 16S ribosomal RNA". It matches the Rfam family "Bacterial small subunit ribosomal RNA", at positions 99 to 334 of the family's 1533-position model. The record is from RNAcentral.